This 423-nucleotide ribosomal RNA is filed under the name uncultured bacterium. RNAcentral describes it as "partial 16S ribosomal RNA". It matches the Rfam family "Bacterial small subunit ribosomal RNA", at positions 360 to 775 of the family's 1533-position model. The record is from RNAcentral.
AAUUUUGGACAAUGGGGGAAACCCUGAUCCCGCCAUCCCGCGUGUAUGAUGAAGGCCUUCGGGUUGUAAAGUACUUUUGGCAGAGAAGAAAAGGUACCUCCUAAUACGAGGUACUGCUCACGGUAUCUGCAGACUAAGCACCUGCCACCUACGUGCCAGCAGCCGCGGUAAUACGUAGGGUGCAAGCGUUAAUCGGAAUUACUGUGCGUCAAGCGUGUGUAGGCGGUUCGGAAAGAAAGAUGUGAAAUCCCAGGGCUCAACCUUGGAACUGCAUUUUUAACUGCCGAGCUAGAGUAUGACAGAGGGGGGUAGAAGUCCACGUGUAGCAGUGAAAUGCGUAGAUAUGUGGAGGAAUACCGAUGGCGAAGGCAGCCCCCUGGGAUAAUACUGACGCUCAGACACGAAAGCGUGGGGAGCAAACAG